Molecule: ribosomal RNA, 279 nt
Filed under: uncultured bacterium
Lineage: Bacteria
Description: partial 16S ribosomal RNA
Rfam family: Bacterial small subunit ribosomal RNA
Source: RNAcentral
UGCCAGCAGCCGCGGUAAUACAGAGGUGGCAAGCGUUGUUCGGUAUCACUGGGCUUAAAGGGCACGUAGGCGGCGCAGUACGGUUCGGGUGAAAUCCCUCGGCUCAACCGAGGAACUGCCCGGGCAACGGCUGUGCUAGACGGCAUCAGGAGAAGGUGGAACUCUCGGUGGAGCGGUGAAAUGCGUAGAUAUCGGGAGGAACGCCGGUGGCGAAAGCGACCUUCUGGGGUGUUCGUGACGCUGAGGUGCGAAAGCUAGGGGAGCGAACGGGAUUAGAUA